Molecule: long non-coding RNA, 476 nt
Organism: Gossypium raimondii (Peruvian cotton)
Lineage: Eukaryota; Viridiplantae; Streptophyta; Magnoliopsida; Malvales; Malvaceae
Exons: 2
Source: RefSeq, a predicted model, not a curated record
AACUAAACCCUAAAUCAGCAGCAAUUUUAAUUUAAAAAGAAACAAACCCUACAAAAAACUAAAGACUCCCUCUGCGCGCCGCUCAACUAACAGGCCGUUCGAAAGCCCCCUUCGCCUUUUCGUGCCUCCGAUUGCGACGGAGGGAACUGAGGUUCGACCACCAGGUACGGUGUACAGAGGUGCGUGGCGUGGAGGCGCACGCGCGGGGAAGAGGCGCGCCUGGGCUACUGCUAUGGCGGCUGAAAUAGAAAGCUGCUGAGGAAGGCUAGGGUUUCCUGUUAUUUUUGGUAUUGGGUUUUUGAGUUUGGGUUAAUGGUUUGGGGCAAAUUAAUGGGCUGUUUGUAUUGGGCCUAGUGGGUUAGCAUUUAAGCAUUUGGGCCACUGUAUUGGGUUGAUUUUGGACUGUAUUAAUUAUUAUUAUUUUUGUUUUUUUGUGUUAUUUAUACGGGCCCAGGUAAAUUGGGCUAUUACAAUCA